UACAGAGGGUGCGAGCGUUAAUCGGAAUUACUGGGCGCAAAGCGCGUGUAGGUGGAUUGGUGUGUCAGAUGUGAAAUCCCUGGGCUCAACCCAGGAACUGCACCUGAAACUACCAGUCUUGAGUGGUGGAGAGGGAAGUGGAAUUCCUGGUGUAGAGGUGAAAUUCGUAGAUAUCAGGAGGAACACCAGUGGCGAAGGCGGCUUCCUGGACACCAACUGACGCUGAGACGCGAAAGCGUGGGGAGCAAACAGG
This 253-nucleotide ribosomal RNA is filed under the name uncultured bacterium. RNAcentral's name for it is "partial 16S ribosomal RNA". It matches the Rfam family "Bacterial small subunit ribosomal RNA", at positions 524 to 776 of the family's 1533-position model. The record is from RNAcentral.